GCUUACAAGCUUGUGAACCUGGCUGCUUCCUGGGACUUCUCAUUCGGCAAGAAUUUUCUACCAUGCCAUGCCUGGUUGUUCCCCCUGCUUACUGUGUGAGGAAGCUUCAGUCUUUGUCACCCUCUGGACAAGAACCCAGCCACAGGGAGGAAGCUGGUGACACAAUGAGAAGUGGAGGUGAAAUAUGUGGAGUAUCAAAUCAGUCACUGAAUACUUUUUGCCAAUGGAUAACUCUCAUUAUUGAAA
Cavia porcellus (domestic guinea pig) is the source of this 246-nucleotide long non-coding RNA. RefSeq lists it as uncharacterized. Lineage: Eukaryota; Metazoa; Chordata; Mammalia; Rodentia; Caviidae. The transcript is spliced from 2 exons. The record is from RefSeq and is a predicted model, not a curated record.